This 218-nucleotide ribosomal RNA is filed under the name uncultured bacterium. RNAcentral's name for it is "partial 16S ribosomal RNA". It matches the Rfam family "Bacterial small subunit ribosomal RNA", at positions 524 to 740 of the family's 1533-position model. The record is from RNAcentral.
UACGGAGGGUGCGAGCGUUGUCCGGAAUCACUGGGCGUAAAGGGCGCGUAGGCGGCUCGAUAAGGCUGUGGUGAAAGCCCGGGGCUCAACCCGGGUCGGCCGUGGCGACUGUUGGGCUGGAGCACUGUAGGAGGCGGGCGGAAUUCCGGGUGUAGCGGUGGAAUGCGUAGAGAUCCGGAAGAACACCGGUGGCGAAGGCGGCCCGCUGGGCAGGAAGG